This 442-nucleotide ribosomal RNA is filed under the name uncultured bacterium. Its description in RNAcentral is "partial 16S ribosomal RNA". It matches the Rfam family "Bacterial small subunit ribosomal RNA", at positions 338 to 795 of the family's 1533-position model. The record is from RNAcentral.
CCUACGGGAGGCAGCAGUGGGGAAUAUUGGGCAAUGGGCGAAAGCCUGACCCAGCAACGCCGCGUGAAGGAAGAAGGCUUUCGGGUUGUAAACUUCUUUUGACAGGGAAGAGCAGAAGACGGUACCUGUCGAAUAAGCCACGGCUAACUACGUGCCAGCAGCCGCGGUAAUACGUAGGUGGCAAGCGUUAUCCGGAUUUACUGGGGGUAAAGGGCGUGUAGCCGGGCUGACAAGUCAGAUGUGAAAUCCGGGGGCUCAACCCCCGAACUGCAUUUGAAAAUGUUGGUCUUGAGUAUCGGAGAGGCAGGCGGAAUUCCUAGUGUAGCGGUGAAAUGCGUAGAUAUUAGGAGGAACACCAGUGGCGAAGGCGGCCUGCUGGACGACAACUGGCGGUGAGGCGCGAAAGCGUGGGGAGCAAACAGGAUUAGAUACCCCGGUAGUC